AGUAUUUUCAAAGCGCAAUUUGGAUUAUACAUUCGGGUGCACAAUGUUCAUUGUGCACCAUGUUGAAUAUUUAUUGAAAUUGUGCACCAUGUUAAACAUUUAUUGAAAAUCUAACCAAUUGAGCUAUCCAUCACUCUCACAAUAUGUUCUUUUAUUUGAACUAUAUGUUCAUUAAAAAACAAGGUGCACAGAGCAUUGUGCACCCAUAAACCAUAUUUUGUUUCGAUUAUCGGCCGCAAGAGUUUGAAUCUCCAAGUUGAACCAAAUUUGGGCGAAAUUCAAUCUUUGAAGCCGAAUUUGAAAAUGAAGAAUCAACCUCCUCAAUCCCUAAUCAUUCCAGGCGAUUUGAUUUUCGAGCAUAUUCUACCCAGAUUUCCGUAUAUCAAGUUCCUUCAACAGCGGAGUGCAGAAGAUGAUGUUGAAAAUGCAAGUUGUAGGAGCCAUUCUGCAGGAUUGCACUAAGACAUGUUUUAAUGUGUGUAGCACCUCGAUCAAACGGUUCUGUCACCAGAGUAUGUUUUUGCAAAAGGUCUUGCGCGCACUAGGUGCACAAUAAAUUUAUUGUACACCAAGAUAACUUUUACCCAUUUUUUGUAACUUUAACCUAGUUUUGAUUAACUUUUAUAUUAGUAAAAAAACGUUGAUAGAUAAA
Spinacia oleracea (spinach) is the source of this 652-nucleotide long non-coding RNA. RefSeq lists it as uncharacterized. NCBI's taxonomy places the organism in Eukaryota, Viridiplantae, Streptophyta, Magnoliopsida, Caryophyllales, Amaranthaceae. The transcript has 2 exons. The record is from RefSeq and is a predicted model, not a curated record.